GUGUCAGCCGCCGCGGUAAUACGUAGGGUGCGAGCGUUAAUCGGAAUUACUGGGCGUAAAGCGUGCGCAGGCGGUUUCACAAGCUAGAUGUGAAAGCCCCGGGCUUAACCUGGGAACUGCAUUUAGGACUGUGGAGCUAGAGUGCGGCAGAGGGAGGUGGAAUUCCACGUGUAGCAGUGAAAUGCGUAGAGAUGUGGAGGAACACCGAUGGCGAAGGCAGCCUCCUGGGCCGACACUGACGCUCAUGCACGAAAGCGUGGGGAGCAAACAGGAUUAGAUACCCGCGUAGUCC
This 292-nucleotide ribosomal RNA is filed under the name uncultured bacterium. Its description in RNAcentral is "partial 16S ribosomal RNA". It matches the Rfam family "Bacterial small subunit ribosomal RNA", at positions 505 to 796 of the family's 1533-position model. The record is from RNAcentral.